This 497-nucleotide ribosomal RNA is filed under the name uncultured bacterium. Its description in RNAcentral is "partial 16S ribosomal RNA". It matches the Rfam family "Bacterial small subunit ribosomal RNA", at positions 28 to 507 of the family's 1533-position model. The record is from RNAcentral.
GAUGAACGCUGGCGGCGUGCCUAAUACAUGCAAGUCGAGCGAACAGAUGAGGAGCUUGCUCCUCUGACGUUAGCGGCGGACGGGUGAGUAACACGUGGAUAACCUACCUAUAAGACUGGGAUAACUUCGGGAAACCGGAGCUAAUACCGGAAAAUAUAUUGAACCGCAUGGUUCAAUAGUGAAAGACGGUUUUGCUGUCACUUAUAGAUGGAUCCGCGCCGCAUUAGCUAGUUGGUAAGGUAACGGCUUACCAAGGUAACGAUGCGUAGCCGACCUGAGAGGGUGAUCGGCCACACUGGAUCUGAGACACGGUCCAGACUCCUACGGGAGGCAGCAGUAGGGAAUCUUCCGCAAUGGGCGAAAGCCUGACGGAGCAACGCCGCGUGAGUGAUGAAGGUCUUCGGAUCGUAAAACUCUGUUAUUAGGGAAGAACAAAUGUGUAAGUAACUAUGCACGUCUUGACGGUACCUAAUCAGAAAGCCACGGCUAACUACGUG